Molecule: transfer RNA, 67 nt
Filed under: Babylonia areolata
Lineage: Eukaryota; Metazoa; Mollusca; Gastropoda; Neogastropoda; Buccinidae
Description: tRNA-Glu
Source: RNAcentral
GUUUCUGUGGUGUAUAACAGCACACUAAAUUUUCAUUUUAGAAGAAUAAAACAAUUUAUCAGAAAUA